Molecule: ribosomal RNA, 473 nt
Filed under: uncultured Glomus
Lineage: Eukaryota; Fungi; Glomeromycota; Glomeromycetes; Glomerales; Glomeraceae
Description: SSU rRNA
Rfam family: Eukaryotic small subunit ribosomal RNA
Source: RNAcentral
AGCAGCCGCGGUAAUUCCAGCUCCAAUAGCGUAUAUUAAAGUUGUUGCAGUUAAAAAGCUCGUAGUUGAAUUUCGGGGUCAGUAGGUCGGUCGUGCCACUGGUAUGCACUGGUCUCACUGAUUCCUCCUUCUUGAAGAACCGUAAUGUCAUUAACUUGGUGUUGCGGGGAAACAGGACUGUUACCUUGAAAAAAUUAGAGUGUUUAAAGCAGGCCAGCGCCUGAAUACAUUAGCAUGGAAUAAUGAAAUAGGACGUUCGAUCCUAUUUUGUUGGUUUCUAGGAUUGACGUAAUGAUUAAUAGGGAUAGUUGGGGGCAUUAGUAUUCAAUUGUCAGAGGUGAAAUUCUUGGAUUUAUUGAAGACUGACUACUGCGAAAGCAUUUGCCAAGGAUGUUUUCAUUAAUCAAGAACGAAAGUUAGGGGAUCGAAGACGAUCAGAUACCGUCGUAGUCUUAACCAUAAACUAUGCCGAC